AAGCACAUUAUAUUGUCUUUGUGUCUCUAAGAACAGGAAUAUUUGAUGUGCUAAAGAAACAGUGAAGGUAAAUUCACAAUGUGGUUAAUAUGGCCAGUGCUGUCAGUCCUUUCUACAAAA
Molecule: small nucleolar RNA, 120 nt
Filed under: Chrysemys picta bellii (western painted turtle)
Lineage: Eukaryota; Metazoa; Chordata; Testudines; Emydidae
Source: RNAcentral